RNAcentral lists this ribosomal RNA (460 nucleotides) under uncultured bacterium. RNAcentral describes it as "partial 16S ribosomal RNA". It matches the Rfam family "Bacterial small subunit ribosomal RNA", at positions 338 to 795 of the family's 1533-position model. The record is from RNAcentral.
CCUACGGGAGGCAGCAGUGAGGAAUAUUGGUCAAUGGACGAGAGUCUGAACCAGCCAAGUAGCGUGAAGGAUGACUGCCCUAUGGGUUGUAAACUUCUUUUAUAAAGGAAUAAAACGCGGCACGUGUGCCUUUUUGCAUGUACUUUAUGAAUAAGGAUCGGCUAACUCCGUGCCAGCAGCCGCGGUAAUACGGAGGAUCCGAGCGUUAUCCGGAUUUAUUGGGUUUAAAGGGAGCGUAGAUGGGUUGUUAAGUCAGUUGUGAAAGUUUGCGGCUCAACCGUAAAAUUGCAAUUGAUACUGGCAGUCUAGAGUACAGUUGAGGUAGGCGGAAUGCGUGGUGUAGCGGUGAAAUGCUUAGAGAUCACGAAGAACCCCGAUUGCGAAGGCAGCUUACUAAACUGUGACUGACAUUGAGGCUCGAAAGUGUGGGUAUCAAACAGGAUUAGAUACCCGGGUAGUC